Long non-coding RNA from Culicoides brevitarsis, 308 nucleotides. RefSeq lists it as uncharacterized. Lineage: Eukaryota; Metazoa; Arthropoda; Insecta; Diptera; Ceratopogonidae. The transcript is spliced from 3 exons. The record is from RefSeq and is a predicted model, not a curated record.
GUUGGAAAUAUGUGUCUUUCAUGCCACCUAGCAGCUUUUUUAUUGACAACCAACUAACUAACAAUUUUUUCUUCAGUUUUAGCAAACAUUGUCGAUCGAUCGACUGACAUCGAGCCUACGCGUAAAACUCGCAAAACUGAAUAUUUUUGGUCGAAGAUUUUUUUUACGAAAGGCGUUCUCAAGGAGAAAUUGACUCUUCAGAGGACUUUGAAUGUCUUUCUGUGAAAAGAGAUUCGCAGCAAGAGUUUGAAUCAAAUUAAUUUAGAAGCAGCAAGAGACUAAGCAAAAAAGGAAUGGAAUUUUUCGGC